Molecule: small nucleolar RNA, 139 nt
Organism: Peromyscus californicus insignis
Lineage: Eukaryota; Metazoa; Chordata; Mammalia; Rodentia; Cricetidae
Product: small nucleolar RNA SNORA48
Exons: 1
Source: RefSeq, a predicted model, not a curated record
UGCCCCCGGCAAUGGGCAGAGACACCUUGGUGGUGGUGGUGUUCUAUCAGCCAGGGGCAGAGCAGAUGGCAGUCCUUUGUUCAUCCUAGCUUGAUGCCUGGCUUGGUGGACAAAGCUGUUACAUGCCUAGGACACGUUA